GAUGAACGCUGGCGGCGUGCCUAAUACAUGCAAGUCGAGCGGACGGACGAGAAGCUUGCUUCUCUGAUGUUAGCGGCGGACGGGUGAGUAACACGUGGAUCACCUACCUAUAAGACUGGGAUAACUUCGGGACACCGUAGCUAAUCCCGGAUAAUAUUUUGCACCGCGUGGUUCAUAAGUGAAAGACGGUCUUUCUGUAACUUCUCGCUGGAUCCGCGCUGCAUUGGCUAGUUGGUAAGGUAACGGCUUACCAAGGCAACGAUGCAUAGCCGACGUGUGAGAGUGAUCGGCCACACUGGAACGGAGACACGGACCAGACGACUACGGGAGGCAGCAGUAGGGAAUCUGCCGCAGUGGGCGAAAGCCUGACGGAGCAACGGCGCGUGAGUGAUGAAGAUCUUCGGAGCGUAAAACCCUGUUAUUAGGGAAGAACAGAUGUGUAAGUAGCUGUGCACAGCUUGACGGUACCUAAUCAGAAAGCAACGGCUAACUACGUG
RNAcentral lists this ribosomal RNA (497 nucleotides) under uncultured bacterium. Its description in RNAcentral is "partial 16S ribosomal RNA". It matches the Rfam family "Bacterial small subunit ribosomal RNA", at positions 28 to 507 of the family's 1533-position model. The record is from RNAcentral.